AUGUCAGAGUUCUGAGAAGGAGAGGAGUGCGUCGAUCGCAUGUUUUCCUUUAAUAUUGUGAUGAUUUGAAAGAAACAAUUGUGGUAGUAAACACGCACAUACAUGUAUGAUACGUUCUUGGAACUUAAUUACGUCAUAGCAUUUCACAUCAUAUAUAUAUUCUCUCCGGAUAGAACCGAAAACAUCAAAACACUUUGAAAUCACGAUUCAAUAAUGGACAGACCUACAUUUUUCUACCAUUCAACAUCAGCAGGAAAUGAAGCUAGGAUAAAAGAAGACAAUAUCCUGAAACCACAGGUACACAACCCAUCCUCAGAAUGGAUGUGGCUAGUAAAUCAACACCGUGAACUGGUACCUAAAGGGGUGUGGUUCUGUGCCACUCUUUAUAACGGAAAUUUGCCAACGAUUUCUCCGUAUGGUAAUAGACGAGUGAGGAUUCCUAUAGAUAGUGUCAUCCAGCAACUUGGAGGAAAUGUGAAACUCUAUGCAGGAGUAACUGAUCAAAACGUAGGAUUUAACACCUAUGUCAGGUUGAUGCUCGUAAAAACAGGAGACACUUUUGAAAUAUUAAAGUACAUGGUUCCCGUGGAUAUUGCCAACAAUCCGUGGUUAACACUGACUGGUGGAUACAGAGUUGCGUGUAGACCAACCUGGGUGGAAAUCUACAUCCCCUACCCAAUCGAUGUCAGUGACUGUCUCUGGGAUCAGUUGUAAUAAUGUCAAAUGCAGAGUAAAGAAAGGAAAGGAUUUGGUUGUAAAAUUUACGAGGCAAGGAUUUAUAUCUGACAAACACAAAUACAAAACUUUCGAUUGCCAAUAGAGAAAAGAAGAAUUGAACUUUUUAAACAACGGUCAAAUACAGGCUAGUCGUAUGCCAUCCUUAGCAAUUAUUGAUAAGUGUCUUGCCCAGAUACACAGCCACGACAGCAUAGACUGGGGACUGGUGCGUUUCUCUGCUUCCCGAGAACCACAAACCGACACGGAUAGGAAGCCUUGAGCCACGCACUUUGGAUCUUCAACUAAGAUUACGUGGCCGACACAUAUAAAUUUUAUGUUGUGUGGUGUGUGUGUUUGUGUGUUUGAGGGGGCUGAGGUUAAGGUUUUAAAGAAAAUGAAAAACUCGACAAUCAUAAUAGAGUUGUUUGUGGUGAAUUAAUUUGAACUGUUGCAUGGAUGACAUAGCCUAGUUACACCUAUGUCUUUAUGGUAUAUUAUGGCCUAGUCUUUGUUCAGUAGUAUGUUUUAUCAAUACUAAGUAUGUUUUAUGGUUUUAAUGUUUAGAUUAGAACUUCCAGAUACCCGCAAAAUAACGUCAUGUUUUAUCUGCCAAAAAGUGACAAUAUUGCUGAAGAACAUCGUGUCUUUAGCCAAAUCUAGAUACAGACAUAUAACUUAUCAAUAAGUCAAUAACUACCAGUUUGACGUGUAAUUAUCCUUAUUUCGCUAGACCAAUGAUACAAGAAGACAAGACUAUCUUGAUUUCCUGUGCAGUAUUUAUUUGAUUUGAUACUUCCAUCUGUGAUAUAACGUGAAAAUUUGUUUAUUUGUCGCUUUUAUUUCUAUUUUCUAUGAUUAUAUUUUUAUAUAUUUAUUCAAUAAAAAUGUAUGGGCUGCAUA
Long non-coding RNA from Pecten maximus, 1617 nucleotides. RefSeq lists it as uncharacterized. The record is from RefSeq and is a predicted model, not a curated record. NCBI's taxonomy places the organism in Eukaryota, Metazoa, Mollusca, Bivalvia, Pectinida, Pectinidae. The transcript has 2 exons.